GCCAGACUCCUACGGGAGGCAGCAGUGGGGAAUAUUGGGCAAUGGGCGCAAGCCUGACCCAGCAACGCCGCGUGAAGGAAGAAGGCUUUCGGGUUGUAAACUUCUUUUGACAGGGAAGAGCAGAAGACGGUACCUGUCGAAUAAGCCACGGCUAACUACGUGCCAGCAGCCGCGGUAAUACGUAGGGAGCAAGCGUUAUCCGGAAUUAUUGGGUGUAAAGGGUGCGUAGACGGGACAGCAAGUUAGUUGUGAAAGCCCUCGGCUUAACUGAGGAACUGCAACUAAAACUAUUGUUCUUGAGUGCAGGAGAGGAAAGCGGAAUUCCUAGUGUAGCGGUGAAAUGCGUAGAUAUUAGGAGGAACACCAGUGGCGAAGGCGGCCUGCUGGACUGCAACUGACGUUGAGGCCCGAAAGCGUGGGGAGCAAACAGGAUUAGAUACCCGUGUACG
Molecule: ribosomal RNA, 449 nt
Filed under: uncultured bacterium
Lineage: Bacteria
Description: bacterial SSU rRNA
Rfam family: Bacterial small subunit ribosomal RNA
Source: RNAcentral